GAGUUUGAUCCUGGCUCAGGAUGAACGCUGGCGGCGUGCCUAAUACAUGCAAGUCGAGCGAACAGAUAAGGAGCUUGCUCCUUUGAAGUUAGCGGCGGACGGGUGAGUAACACGUGGGUAACCUACCUAUAAGACUGGGAUAACUUCGGGAAACCGGAGCUAAUACCGGAUAAUAUUUAGAACCGCAUGGUUCUAAAGUGAAAGAUGGUUUUGCUAUCACUUAUAGAUGGACCCGCGCCGUAUUAGCUAGUUGGUAAGGUAACGGCUUACCAAGGCGACGAUACGUAGCCGACCUGAGAGGGUGAUCGGCCACACUGGAACUGAGACACGGUCCAGACUCCUACGGGAGGCAGCAGUAGGGAAUCUUCCGCAAUGGGCGAAAGCCUGACGGAGCAACGCCGCGUGAGUGAUGAAGGGUUUCGGCUCGUAAAACUCUGUUAUUAGGGAAGAACAAAUGUGUAAGUAACUGUGCACAUCUUGACGGUACCUAAUCAGAAAGCCACGGCUAACUACGUGCCAGC
This 521-nucleotide ribosomal RNA is filed under the name uncultured bacterium. RNAcentral describes it as "bacterial SSU rRNA". It matches the Rfam family "Bacterial small subunit ribosomal RNA", at positions 9 to 512 of the family's 1533-position model. The record is from RNAcentral.